UCAAGGCUGGCAGCCUGCGGGCCCUGUGGAGCAGCAGCAGAGCAGGUUCAGCACCUGGAGCCAUCGCUGUGAGCCAGCUCACGUGGGCACAUAACCAUUGCAGCUGCCUCCUCUUUAGAGCCAAAGUGUGAAGCAGACACGGGGAAGAGCCCCCAGCAGGGAUAAGGAUGAGGCCUCAGGACCAGUGCAGCCUCUGCAGCCAGCAACUGGUGGUUGAAGCACUGCAGCACUUGGAUGCUCCUUUCCAGCAUAUGGCAUGAGCACACCCGCAGUGAAAACAAUGCAGGCCACGUCUGAUCUCCAACACAGCGCGUUUUUGCGGGUCCCAAGAGGAGGUGCUAUCCACUACUUAAUUGAGAGUAUUCUGUUUCUCCCUGAGCUGCUCUUAAUCUGCUCUCUCGUUUCUGCUGCAAAAUGUUAACAGACCAAAAGGCACACGGGACAGGAGGUACUUUAUCAGUGCAGUUAAAAAAAAAAAAAAACACCUAUGGCUAAAAUAAACAGUUAAGAGACUGAGCAACACGUUCCAGCCCUACAAAAGACUGCAGUGCCCUUUGCCAGAGCUGGAGUGGUGGAUGAUUCAAAUGUGGUCAUUGUUUAAUAUUACACUUUAUCCCUGAAACUUGAUACUACUU
Long non-coding RNA from Tympanuchus pallidicinctus (lesser prairie-chicken), 635 nucleotides. RefSeq lists it as uncharacterized. The record is from RefSeq and is a predicted model, not a curated record. The transcript is spliced from 4 exons. NCBI's taxonomy places the organism in Eukaryota, Metazoa, Chordata, Aves, Galliformes, Phasianidae.